AUUGAACGCUGGCGGCAUGCCUUACACAUGCAAGUCGAAUGGUAACGGGCCUUCGGGUGCCGACGAGUGGCGAACGGGUGAGUAAUGCAUCGGAACGUACCUUUCAGUGGGGGAUAACGUAGCGAAAGUUACGCUAAUACCGCAUAUUCUGUGAGCAGGAAAGCAGGGGAUCGCAAGACCUUGCGCUGAUUGAGCGGCCGAUGUCAGAUUAGCUAGUUGGUGAGGUAAAGGCUCACCAAGGCGACGAUCUGUAGCGGGUCUGAGAGGAUGAUCCGCCACACUGGAACUGAGACACGGUCCAGACUCCUACGGGAGGCAGCAGUGGGGAAUUUUGGACAAUGGGGGCAACCCUGAUCCAGCCAUGCCGCGUGAGUGAAGAAGGCCUUCGGGUUGUAAAGCUCUUUCGGCCGGGAAGAAAUCGUAUGGGUUAAUACCCUGUGCGGAUGACGGUACCGGCAUAAGAAGCACCGGCUAACUACGUG
RNAcentral lists this ribosomal RNA (482 nucleotides) under uncultured bacterium. Its description in RNAcentral is "bacterial SSU rRNA". It matches the Rfam family "Bacterial small subunit ribosomal RNA", at positions 30 to 507 of the family's 1533-position model. The record is from RNAcentral.